RNAcentral lists this ribosomal RNA (200 nucleotides) under uncultured bacterium. Its description in RNAcentral is "partial 16S ribosomal RNA". It matches the Rfam family "Bacterial small subunit ribosomal RNA", at positions 8 to 210 of the family's 1533-position model. The record is from RNAcentral.
AGAGUUUGAUCCUGGCUCAGGACAAACGCUGGCGGCGUGCCUAACACAUGCAAGUCGAACGGGGGAGGGGUUCGCCCCUCCCGAGUGGCGGACGGGUGCGUAACACGUGGAUAACCUACCCUGCGGUGGGGGAUACCCUGCAGAAAUGCGGGCUAAGACCGCAUACGGUGGUUGGGGGCAACCCCGAUCAGGAAAACGCG